UACGUAGGUGGCAAGCGUUGUCCGGAAUUAUUGGGCGUAAAGGGCGUGUAGGUGGAUUCUUAAGUCGUGUGUCUAAGUGCGAGGCUCAACCUCGUAUGGGCGCAGGAAACUGGGAAUCUUGAGUGCAGGAGAGGAAAGUGGUAUUCCCAGUGUAGCGGUGAAAUGCGUAGAUAUUGGGAGGAACACCAGUGGCGAAGGCGACUUUCUGGACUGUGUCUGACACUGAGGCUCGAAAGCCAGGGGAGCGAACGGG
This 253-nucleotide ribosomal RNA is filed under the name uncultured bacterium. RNAcentral's name for it is "partial 16S ribosomal RNA". It matches the Rfam family "Bacterial small subunit ribosomal RNA", at positions 524 to 776 of the family's 1533-position model. The record is from RNAcentral.